Molecule: ribosomal RNA, 467 nt
Filed under: uncultured bacterium
Lineage: Bacteria
Description: partial 16S ribosomal RNA
Rfam family: Bacterial small subunit ribosomal RNA
Source: RNAcentral
GACGAACGCUGGCGGCGUGCUUAACACAUGCAAGUCGAACGGAAAGGCCCUGCUUUUGUGGGGUGCUCGAGUGGCGAACGGGUGAGUAACACGUGAGUAACCUGCCCUUGACUUUGGGAUAACUUCAGGAAACUGGGGCUAAUACCGGAUAGGAGCUCCUGCUGCAUGGUGGGGGUUGGAAAGUUUCGGCGGUUGGGGAUGGACUCGCGGCUUAUCAGCUUGUUGGUGGGGUAGUGGCUUACCAAGGAUUUGACGGGUAGCCGGCCUGAGAGGGUGACCGGCCACAUUGGGACUGGGGUGCGACCCAGAGGCAAACGGGCGGCAGGGGUGGAGGAUAGUGCGCACAGGGCGGAGGCAUGAAGGAACAACGCCGGGUGGGAGAUGGCGGCCUUCGGGUUAUAAACCGCUUUCGCCUAUGACGAAGCGUGAGUGACGGUAAUGAGGAAAGAGGCACCGCCAAACUACGU